UUUGCCCUGCCGCGUGCGUGAUGUCUGAGAAAGUUCUGAGCCUACAUUCACACAUGAGGGAGUCCAACUCUUUUGCCGGGACGCCGUCUGUUGAGGCCUUCAUCGGAUUUUCCAGGUUUACCUGGAUAACAACAGUGGCGCGAGGGCGAGGAGCGGCACCCACCUGCGCUAAGCGGGUUCAGUAACUUGACGAUACACGGCGUAGCGGGGCAUUU
This 215-nucleotide non-coding RNA is filed under the name Abditibacteriaceae bacterium. RNAcentral describes it as "Abitibacteriaceae bacterium (rhizosphere metagenome) 6S RNA". It matches the Rfam family "6S / SsrS RNA". From Rfam's summary of the family: E. coli 6S RNA was the first non coding RNA to be sequenced, but its function was unknown until recently. It consists of 184 nucleotides that fold into an extended hairpin structure with a large single-stranded internal bulge. Lineage: Bacteria; Pseudomonadati; Abditibacteriota; Abditibacteriia; Abditibacteriales; Abditibacteriaceae. The record is from RNAcentral.